RNAcentral lists this ribosomal RNA (484 nucleotides) under uncultured bacterium. Its description in RNAcentral is "partial 16S ribosomal RNA". It matches the Rfam family "Bacterial small subunit ribosomal RNA", at positions 899 to 1397 of the family's 1533-position model. The record is from RNAcentral.
ACUCAAAUGAAUUGACGGGGACUCGCACAAGCGGUGGAUAAUGUGGCUUAAUUCGUCGGCAAGCGAAAAACCUUACCAAGAUUAGAAAUCCAACUGCAUACCACCCGAAAGGGAGGUAGCCUUCGAGGGUGUUGGACAGGUGAUGCAUGGUCGUCGUCAGUUCGUGGUUUGAACUGUUCCCUUCAGUGGGGUAACGAACGCAACCCCCGUUGCCUGUUAUAUUUGUCAGGCGAGACUGCUCCCUCACGGGAGAGGAAGGUGGGGAUGACGCCAGAUCAGCAUGUCCCUCUGAUAUCUUGGGCUGCACACGUUAUACAAUGGUCGGUACAAUAGGACGCAAUACCGUAAGGUGGAGCAAAUCCCUAAAACCGUCCUCAGUACAGAUUGAGGUCUGCAACCGACCUCAUGAAGCUGGAAUCGCUAGUAAUCCUGAAUCAGCAAAGUCAGGGUGAAUACGUUCUCGAGUCUUGUACACACCGCCCGU